UGUUCCCUGUCUCUCUCUCAU
Molecule: non-coding RNA, 21 nt
Filed under: Arabidopsis thaliana (thale cress)
Lineage: Eukaryota; Viridiplantae; Streptophyta; Magnoliopsida; Brassicales; Brassicaceae
Source: RNAcentral